This 737-nucleotide ribosomal RNA is filed under the name uncultured bacterium. RNAcentral describes it as "bacterial SSU rRNA". It matches the Rfam family "Bacterial small subunit ribosomal RNA", at positions 819 to 1533 of the family's 1533-position model. The record is from RNAcentral.
GGUUUAAACGCCAUUAAAAAGUUGAAACCCGCCCUGGGGGGAAGUUUCGGGCCCGCCAUGGGUUUUAAAAACUUCAAAAGGGAAUUGGACGGGGGGCCCCGCACCAAAGCGGAUGGAGGCAAGGCGGGUUUAAUUUGAAGGCAGCGCGCAGAAUCUUUACUUGGGUUUUGGACAUCCCCUAGACAGCCUAUGAAAAGUUAAGUUUUCCACUUUCGGGGGCAGGGAGAACAGGUGGUGCAUGGCUGUCGUCAGCUCGCGUUCGUGAGAUGUUGGGUUAAGUUCCGUAACGAGCGCAACCCUUGUAUCUAGUUGCCAGUGUUAAGUCAGGCACUCUAGUUGGACUGCCCAGGUUAAAUGGGAGGAAAGGGGGAUGACGUCAAGUCUUCAUGGCCCUUUUGCCCAGGGCUACACACGUGCUACAAUGGCCGGUACAAAGGGGUGCAAUAUCGCGAGAGGGAGAUAAUCCCAAAAAGCCGGUAUCAGUUCGGAUUGGAGUCUGCAACUCGACUCCAUGAAGUUGGAAUCGCUAGUAAUCCCGGAUCAGCAUGCCGGGGUGAAUACGUUCCCGGGCCUUGUACACACCGAACGUCACACCACGAAAGCCUGUUUUCCAGAAGUGGCUGGGCCAACCCGCAAGGGAGGCAGGUUUCCUAACUAUGCCGGUAAUGGGGGAAGUCGUCACAAUGCCCUCCUUUUCUCUAGUGAUUCGCGGCCGCCCCACAAGGUUGCCGGAUCCC